CUGUUUCUGUUUCUUAUUUGUUUUUGACGGAAAACUCUUGAUUGUUUUUUGAGCAUUGGAAUCCUUAUACGCAGGCAGAAACUAUUGCAAACCUCGGUCACUAAACACCUUGCAAAUAGUUGCUCUGAACUCUUCAGAAAACCCUUCUGUUAUCAUAGCUUAAAUUUUGUGUUCUAUAGUUUCUUCUUUGGCGUUUGAUUAUCUGCGGUUCAUGUUCUCAACAGAGUUACCGACACAUAAUUGUCAACACGUAUUGUAGCAUCCAGGUACAGAAGAGCUGUAUAAAAUUUCUUUUCAGCUUUUGUCUCAUUUUCCAUCGAACAACAGGAUAUGUGCUGACAAAAGCAAAUGAGCAGUUGUUCAUGCUAUUACCAUGUGCAAAUUUGUUGCUGCUGUCAGAUUUUUUGCAGAGCCACUGAUGCAGAAAACCCUUUGGUCUAUUAUUUCUUUCUGAAGAAUUGAAUCCGUUAUCAUAUCUCUGAGAACUACUGCCAGGUGCUGGAGUUGAUUUAUGUCUAUCAUGUCUCGGAUGAUACUCUGUCAGUUCAGGUGGGUUGAGUGCAAGUGUUUCAACUCGUAAAGUGGUUUUUAAAAUGUUAGAACGAUUUAAUCUUUUGAAACAUGUUAUAAUAUGAUGAGUACCACUUAGCAUGUGCCUAGUGCCACCCUCUGAUCCAUCGAGUUUUAUCUAACCUGAAAUUUUGACACUAUCAGUGAAUGAUUAAACUUAGUUCGAUUAGUUUGUUUCUUUAGAAUGUUCUAUUCUAUCUUGUUAGUGUCUUAUUAUUGAUUGCUCCAUGCUUUGAAUUUUGGAGAAAAUUACCAAGUCACAUAUCAGUGUUAACGGUGCUUUAUUGUUGAGUGAUGUAUGUGGAAAACACCAAGACCAGUGCAACAAAUAAUAUUUAUGAGACUAUUGACUUUACAGGUGGUGACUGGUGGUAUUUACUGCCAAAGAGAUAAUUUUAAGCACUUAAAUUUGGAGGAAACUUUCAUAGGCUUAAAUAUUGAUUGGCCGAACCUAGUUUGACUAUAUGGCUCAUAUGGUGUCUGUGUUCUCAUGAUUUUUUUGAAUAAUUGCAUCCACAUUUAGGUUAUGAAUUUAUUGCCUUGGAUUGAGAAGUAAGGUCCUUGUUCUUGCUACAGCUGAAACUGGUAGUGGAAUCCACAACAAUUUGAGUGGCCUACCACUGUCAUGAACAACUGCAUGCCUGGCAUGUUGGUUAGAGAAAGCUAGUUACUGCCAGAAGUUGGGUUUGAUUGGAACUUUGUAUUUUGUGGGACACAUGCCAGGUGAUUUUGAUGUAAGUUUAAUAAGUAUGUGUUGUGAGUGUAACAAUUUUUACACUAUCAAUUAAUUAAAAAUCAUUAUAUAAUAUAAUUUUAAGAUAUUUGUGGAAAAGCUUUAAAAAAAUGAUGAAACAUGUUGGUUUAUGAUUAAAAGAGAGUAUAAAACUAUGUAUUUACUAUAUAUUUAAUAUUUCUAUUUAUAUCUUCAAAAUUUGGACAAUGUUUGUGGAAAUUAAAAUGGUAAAUACUUUUUUUUAGAAUUUAAUUUCUGUGUAUAAAAAUUGUUAUAUAUUAUUUCUAAUAUUUUUAUUGUACAAGUCAAUAAAGUUACUACAUAUGAAAAUUUAUAAUUGAGUAACGCG
Molecule: long non-coding RNA, 1652 nt
Filed under: Phaseolus vulgaris (common bean)
Lineage: Eukaryota; Viridiplantae; Streptophyta; Magnoliopsida; Fabales; Fabaceae
Description: long non-coding RNA (PVUL_LNC004347)
Source: RNAcentral